AUGGGAGAUGCCUUCAAUAUGCGUCACCCGUUAACAGGAGGUGGAAUGACUGUGGCUUUGUCUGACAUUGUUGUGCUGAGAAAUUUACUUAAACCUCUACAUGACCUGCAUGAUGCUUCUGCUCUUUGCAAAUACCUUGAAUCAUUCUACACCCUACGCAAGGUUGGUUCUAAGAUGACAAAUAAAUUUUAAAUGAAUUGAUUUUAGUUACAAGUGGUUUAUGUCUGGAUACAUUCGCGUAAAAGUAUAUUGAAUAAUAAAUUUAAAUAUAAAAAUCAUGUUUGGAGUUAAAAUCUACAAAUCACGCUUGAAGUGGGAGUCAGCACUAGAGGGAAAAUCAUUUUUAGUAAUCACGUCAUCCACACAUAUCAAAAUCAAUUGUCUUUGGAAUCGCUUUUGAACUUUGUUAGUAAGUAGUAACUAGUGCAAUGUUUAAACUUUAACGAAUUCUAAAAAAAGAAAAGAAAACUUAUUGCAUUGCUUGACUCUAUUUUUUGCAGCCAGUGGCAUCUACAAUAAACACAUUAGCAGGUGCAUUGUACAAAGUAUUUUGUGCCUCACCUGAUCCAGCUAGAAAGGAAAUGCGCCAAGCAUGUUUUGAUUAUUUGAGCCUUGGAGGUGUUUUCUCAGAUGGACCAAUAGCUCUACUCUCUGGUCUCAAUCCUCGUCCGCUCAGCUUGGUUCUCCAUUUCUUUGCUGUCGCUAUAUAUG
This 711-nucleotide long non-coding RNA is filed under the name Cicer arietinum (chickpea). Its description in RNAcentral is "long non-coding RNA (CARI_LNC001834)". The record is from RNAcentral. Lineage: Eukaryota; Viridiplantae; Streptophyta; Magnoliopsida; Fabales; Fabaceae.